UACGUAGGUGGCGAGCGUUGUCCGGAAUUACUGGGCGUAAAGGGCGCGUAGGCGGCUCUUUAAGUCAGAUGUGAAAACCCAGGGCUUAACUCUGGGAGUGCAUUUGAAACUGAAGGGCUUGAGUGCAGGAGAGGUAAGUGGAAUUCCUAGUGUAGCGGUGAAAUGCGUAGAUAUUAGGAGGAACACCAGUGGCGAAGGCGACUUACUGGACUGUAACUGACGCUGAGGCGCGAAAGCGUGGGGAGCAAACAGGAUUAGAUACCCUGGUAGUCCACGCUGUAAACGAUGGAUACUAGGUGUGGGAGGUAUCGACCCCUUCCGUGCCGCAGUAAACGCAAUAAGUAUCCCGCCUGGGGAGUACGGCCGCAAGGUUGAA
This 376-nucleotide ribosomal RNA is filed under the name uncultured bacterium. Its description in RNAcentral is "bacterial SSU rRNA". It matches the Rfam family "Bacterial small subunit ribosomal RNA", at positions 524 to 898 of the family's 1533-position model. The record is from RNAcentral.